UGAUCUUUAUCACGACCUACUAUGUAGACAUCAAAAUAGAUCGAUGGAUCCGAUAAGCAAAGAGAUACGAUCGACCUGGUUACACUAUCGAUGAUUCAAGGUGUAGCAGUCAUUCGAGUCACUCGAUGAAUCGAGAACAAGUAAUCGCGUUAAAGGCUGAUAGAUAUUCACACGGUAAAUCGACGAUGGAGUCUGUUUUCGAAUUGUGCGCCACUGAUACAGCGAAUUGCCGGACGUGGUUGACGCGCGCGAUUGAAAAUAGACGCUUCCGGUUUCUCCUGGACACGUGCACGGGAUUCAAGGCACGUAAUGUGUGCCACGGAACUUGACCGAACCUCACAAAGCGAGAGUUCAAUUGAACAGCCGUUUGCGUUCUUCGCGCGAUUUGCAGCUGCGAGUAACCGGCACCGAUUACGAAUUCGUUUUCAACGCCUCUCGUCUCUCGACUCUAUUGUUAAUAAGUGAUGUUCAUUUCCUCUAUUAGGAUUGGAAAGCGAAACGAAGCGAUCCUGGAAUUGUUCCCGAGCUCGAUGCAGUUUCGCAAUUACCUUUCUGAAAGAUUCUGCAGAGAGAGGGAGAGAGAGUGAAAUACUUGAAUAAACUUUUUACCCAGAUUCUUGGCAUAAUGAGCCAUUUCCAUUCGUAUUGCUGCGUUGUUUGUAUAAUAAUCGUGUUGCUGUUUGCGGGAAUAAUUAUAUGUAAUUAUAUAUAAUUAUCGUGCACAAUUGUUUCAAUUUCUUUUAUGGAUUUAUUAUGUGGUUCCACGAUCUCGAUGCUAUUUUUUGACGAUAUUGACCUCAAGAUAUUUAUUAUCGAAUAAUAUCGCUAAAAUUAUCAUAAAGAUAGACACGAGAGAAAACUUACAUAUAGGAAUGAUACGAAAAAAAGUUUCAAUUAAUUUUAUCUCUCGUUUGUUUUUGCAAAGUUUGGACAGAUACGCGUGAAAGAUGUCUUAUAUUAAUUAAAAAAUAAUCGUUGCCAUUCCAAAUCUGAAUCGUCUUUACAUUUACCUAUGGUUUUACCUGCCAUUAAGAUGAAAAUGAAACAGUCCUUGAAAUAACACGAAUAUAGUACGACGGACUGUUCGAACGAAAGUCACGUUGAGCAAACUUGCUAAUUCUAUUUGUCGUAUCAAGGUAACCAGAGAUUGGUGCCAAUGAAAAAUCGGAUACGCGUAUCGACGAGUUGACAAUUGGAAAAUUGCGAAUGCAGAAUGCCUUCAUAUUAGCAUUGGCAAAAUUUGGAAGAAUUACUCGUUAACAUACGAUAAAAAUCCCAUCAGCUACGAACGUGUUGAACAGCUUUGUGACGCGGUUGGUCUUAUCUUAUCAUCAUGGCCGUUGUGACGUUUGCACCUCAGUUCGUUGUUGAAUCUCGUAAGCUUCAAAACACCGAUGAAUCGAGCACCCGAGCAUUAAGUAUCGAGAAAUCGCGACUCGCUUCUCGGAAGUGAAUCCAGUACAAGAAGGGUGAAAUCAACUUCGUUGAUUGCUUUUGAUAUAACAAUGACUAUGCUAUAUAUGGAACAUAAACUCUUAAAUAUAAAGAGGAUGAUGGUUCUCUUAAUUCUUGCUCUGUCGUAUAAACUGUGAACGUUACGUAACGCAAAAGACAUUGUUUCAAACAAUAUGAAAAAAUGAUGUCAAUGGUCUGUAAGCUCGAAAUUCUGAUAUUGCCAUGGUAAUCUAAAUCCUGUGUAAAAAACUAAUAAAACUUACCUAAUAUCUAGGAGAGAAAAUCUCUAUUUAGAAAAUAUCUGUGUCAUUUUAUCCAAUGAAGCGGUAACUGUACUUAUUAUAUUAUUUUUACCAUUUGCUAGAUAUUUAUUGAUAUUUCCACGACAGGAAUAGAUAUCGGGUUUUCCUUUUUUUGAACGUUAUCCUGGAGACUUGCAAACUUUAUUUGUUAAAAUUUCGUUAGUAAACUACAUACUACGAUAGUUUUGGUACAGUUAAGCGCUAUACAAAUAUUUUUCACACCGAUCGUAUCUUUUUUCUCAUUGUAAAGAAACAGCGAAAAAUAGAACGAUAAAACGGAUACCAAUGAAAAUCGCAAUGGUAGUACACGUUCAUUCACUGGAUUCGCGAGAUUAUAACUUUAUUUCGCUGCUAUUUGCGCAACUGUGUUCGCCGGUCGUAAAAUCGCACGGAUAACAUUUAAUGGAUGAAAAUGUUAAGCAACGGAACCUGCGAUCCUGAGAAACAGUAAGGAAUACACGCGUGAGAUUACACGGCGGGUGUUCGAUGGAAAAUGUCAGAGCUGGGUGCGCCGUGGUUUGUUAUGUGUUUGUUUGCGCGCUAUUGUAACACCGUGCAAUGUUAAAUGCGAACCAAAGAGACAAUCCCCGGGCGAUUGUUCGUUCUGGAACCUUGGUAAUCACGAGAUUUCGUGAAUAAGCGGUCUCCCGGGAAUAAUUAGAAGCACAGGGAAUCCGCUAAAACGGAGAAAUAUUUUAGCGAAUCUCGGAACACUGGCAAACUUCGUCUUCGACUCUGCUAUUAUCUACCACUAAUUAUACUGGAGAUCUUCCACGAGAUCUUUGAAGAUUGAGAGAGAUCUCGCAGAGGCUGUCAAAUCGUCUUGUCUAAAGCAAUCAACGACAAAGCGUAUCGAUGUGUAUGGAGAUUUUCGAAUGCGACAAAGGAAAGAAUAAUCGACUCUUCGAUUGUUUCAACGUCUCUUCAAACUUUUCGUAUUCGAACUAUUCGUACAGCUGCUAAACGCUAAAGGCAAAUUCGAUGGUUCGAAACUCGCGUUUCAAUCCGAAUUGACAAACUCUACGGAGAAGUUGAAACCAUUUCGAAGCUGGAUUGUACGAAAAUACCGACGUGUACCAGUCUACAGCUACAGAAUUCAAUUAAAUGGGAGAUAGUACGGAAUUGUUGGGCGCAAGCAACGGCACUCCGGCAGAGAAUGGCAAAGAUCUAGGUGCGCUAAAGCGUCUGCGGUGAAAUAAAGUAUACGUAGAAGGACUGAAACCGUAAUCCGGCCAAGCGAGCCAGUCUCCUGACCUGACAUUUAAUGCUCUUACACAAGUUGCAACUACCCGUUGCUCUUUGUCCGCCAAGAUGGUGCUAUUCAUCGAAACGAUACGAGUAGGCCAAAGGGAGGGACGGGCCAAUGAUUUUAUCGUGUCGCGUUUGAAUGUGCUGGACGCACCGCAAUUUGCUAUUUUCCACGGUGUGUGUACCAUAUCAGUUACGAAAUCGAUGUUGGUAUUGUCUUGUCAGCGGAGAUUUGUUGGAACAGACUUUUGCGAAUACGACUAGUGAUCGUUAUUAUCAUUAUUAGCAUAGUCCUGAAUCGGAUAUGAGAAUUCAUCGAAUACGCGUGCGAUAAACACCCUAUAUAAUCAGACACGUGCGAGUUCCACCGUGAAAUUGAGAUUUCCACGGUUCUAGAGGCACGGCGAGCAGAUAUGGGAAACCUCGCCGGUUAUAACGAUCAAUUGUUCGCACUGGCAAGUCGUGUUCGUCAGGGAUUCCAAUUCUGAAAUUGAUUAAAUCAUUUGACUUGCGGUGGUACACAUCCGGUGCUUACCACCAAGUACAAAUCCGAAACACUUGCUAACUUUGAUAGAUUCGAAAUCGAGUUUGACCGGAACAGAAUGUGCGCGACCAUGUCUUGUAGACGUAUCUAUACGUUGUACAAGGUUUAAUUGGAGUUAAGUGAAACGAAUUACUAUGUAGUAAACAAAUUAAGUAUAGUAGUGGAGAUGUCACGGCACUGGCUGAUGAAGGAAAUCGAAUAACUCGAGAACGAAAAGAGACAAUUUUAACCUGUGUUUGUUCGCGAUACAGAAGAAAAACAUGAGAAUUAAUGGUACGAUGAUUCAGAGUGUGUCCACUAUCUUUAACUGCCGCUCAGCAGCGAGACCGUUCUCAAAAUAUUUAAUUAUACGACCAGUAGGUGAGGCUUCUUUCGACCGUGGAAUCUUUUCCAAGUUCUGGCAAAUAAUCUUUCUUUAAAAACAAGAAAUAAAGUGGAUUCCUAUGUAGAGAAGCUUUUUAAAAAAUUAUCUUCCAGAGAUAAGUAAUCCAAGCGACUGGUUAACUGGUGCGUGUUGCACGGUUUAAUGGGUUAACGGGUUUCGUUCGAUGCGACGACUUUCGACUAUCGUGGCGAAUCAACGAUCGGGAGAGAACCGAGUAACUUACAGGAUCAGAAACGAAACAUUAUGAUAGCACGGGCCUCGUGUGUUGCGUGGGUCAUUGAGAGUGUCACGCGUGACGUGGGAGCGUGUGUACGCAGAGGUAUGUCAGAGAAAAUACGGCGGAAACACGCACCAGCCGGAGGCACCAGCGAGGGAAAAGAAUGAAAGAGAAGGGACAUCGUCGAGGAGAAAAGAAGACCACGUACAAGCCAGACAAUCCAUACACUGGAAUAUAUGCACACGCAUACUGAAGGAUCGUAAAGGACCAAACAGGAGAAAGAAGUAAACGUUGCUGGCGAGUCGAAAUCUUGUAUUCGCUGGACUAAGCCGAAGAUAUUUAUCAGCAGAGAUUAAAACGGGACUUUCCGUGUGUAACUGCAUAAAUUUAACUUUCCUGCUAUGUAUAUACACCAACACAUAUCCAGAUACCGUAACUUUUCGGUCCGGUCGACGAAUACCACGAGCAGCAUCCGAGGCAAGAAUUAAUAUGACAAUCUCUACGACUUAAAUCUCGAAUCGUCCUCGAAUGAACAAUAUUCGAGUAUAUUGCAAGCAAUACAAAAUACUAUACUAGACUAUUUAUAACACAAAAGAUAUUAAAUUAUAUUACUGCGUUAUUAUUUGUAUUCUACAUAUUCGUAGCCUCAUAGUUAUAGAAUUAAAACGAUUAAUACUUUUAAUGAUACAUGUUCAAAAAUGUUUAUCAAUCAGAGAGUAAUCUAGAAUUGCAAUUUACAGUUCGCAAUCUAUAUUUUAUAGUGCAAUAAUUUAUCUUAACUCGAUACGUCGUUUAUUAUCGAGCAAUUUACAUGCUACCACGUGUGUAUGACUCAGAAUCGAACAGAGCUUAUCAAGCAGGUAUUCCUUUUCUUCCUUGUCGUUAUCGCGAUUGAUUGUUUGUACAGGUAAUAUCAGUUAGUAAAACAUUCCGACAAAUGCUUAACUGCUAAUAUCACUCGUAAAGGCGUUACGGGUAAAGAUUCGAUUUUACGAUGCUAUUAGGUUUAGAAUUAAGGAAGUAGGUAACAGGAAUUAUAACGAGGAUAAUAAAAGGCGUAAAAACAAUCUUUGCCUAUCAGAUACGAUUCGUAUAAUAUAAUAAACAGAAGCGUAAAUUAUUCGAAUACGAUUUUCGCGAUAUUUGUGCAGAAAGCGAGGAGACGAUUUCAUGCAUUAAACAGCUGACACUUUUGUAUCGGUGAUAAAACCAUUCUAUCUGAUAACGAUAAACGAAGGUUAGCAGAAGGAUUUCGACGAUGACGAAGAUACAGAACUUCGAAAGCUUGAAAAUAUUCAACAAAUAUUAAGGAAAAAUCGGAAAGUUAAAUGCUAAUAGUACGUUCUAUUGGAUUGUAUUAAAAUUUCUGCUGGAAAUUCUUUGGUUUAAAUAUGCAAAUCUAUGUUUAACUACUUAAUAAUUACAGCAUUUACAUAAUGCUACUUUUCGAAAAUAUUAUCGAUGUAAAUGCAGGAAUAAACGAAAAUGCAGAUUUUGCAGAAGGUAUUACUCGCGAAUAUUUUAUAUUAUUCGCGAGGCGCAAGUUCAAUUAUUUAUGAUUUAACAAUAAGUAUCGUGCAACAAAAUGUCCAUUAGUAUAAUAUCGUAACCUUGGAGGAAUAUUCCUAGAAAUUUCAGGAAACUCUGCAAUUUAUAAUAUUUUAAUUCCAUUAAAAUUCCAUUAAAAUUCCAUUAAAAUAUUAUAUUCAUUCUUCGCUCAUAAUACGCUCACACAUAAGUUCACUCUUUUUUACAAGUAUUUCUACUCAAUCCAUCAGGAAACAACAGCCUGCAUAAAGCUUCUAGUCGAAACAACCCACCCGCGAUAAGAUCAUCACAUGUUAACGACGUUUAAUCGCCAUACUAUUAAUCUCCCCGUUUACGACGAUCGUUGAGAGUUUAAAGCACGGUCGAAACUUUUGACCACGCUAUCGCUUUCGAUGCAGUUGCUAACACGAUAAACUUCCCCUAUAUUUUCUCAUUGAGUGUUGCAUAUAUAAUGUAUACAUACGUGUACGGCCACGGAAUCGUUCCGCAACGAUGAGAAAAAGCGGAUGAGUCAGCUGCUUCUUUCGCAACUUUCUAACGUCAUUUACACGCUCGCCAAUCCAUGUCCGAUCGUUCACAUGCAACUCCACAAACUAUCUAUGCAAAACGAACGCGAUCCUUCGAUAAUUUCAUAUAUUCCAUGUUUUCGUUGCACGAGAAUUAAAGUUCAGGUACACGCAUGAUUGCAAUCGAAACAAAUAUUCCAAAUCUUUGGUCCAUUCCUUCGAAUAUCGGCGUAAUAUUCGAAUAGAGUUCGACACAAAUGUAAAGUCAUCUUGUUGUAAUGUUUUAUGGAACUAAAAAUUUUACGCGAGUAUUACGACAAUUUUUCGAAAAUUGAUGGGAUCAGACAAACGUCCCUCGAAUAAAAAAUAUCGUGACAAAGUGUCGAAAACUUGUGGCUCGCUAUCUGUAGAAUGCUACUGACUUAAUUAAGCCAACUUGCUUUCGGAUUAAUGUUUCAUAAUGAAAUUUGUGACUCUAAAAUUUCAAUUAUAUCCUAAGGAUUCGCGAGAGUUUCGUUUCUUGAAAAAUUAAAAGGUCGCUAAAGUCCUGGAUCGCUUUAAUCACAUUAUCCUUGAAUGCGAACUGCGAGAAAACGCUACAAAACGUUUCACGAAAUGCCCAUGGCAGAACCAGUAACGAUCAUUUUAAUUCCGAGUUUCGAAGUAUCUUGAAAUCAUUUUUAGAAUGUAAAUUAAUUAAAAAAAAAAAAAAAAAAUCGUACAAAAAUCGUUACAAGCAAUUUAAACGUUUCUUUCUAUAUUUCGUGCCCCUAUAUUAAUUAAAUAAACGAGACAUUUAGAGAUGCAGUAAUUUAUAAUCAAAAUUCUUCUUUAGAAGUAGCAACUCUAUAAAAGACUUUUUAUAUUUUCUUUUCCUCUCGCACGUGGCACUCGAGCGGAGCAGGUCGAGUUUCAUCAAAGAAAAUUGCUGCUUUGAUAAAGCCUCGUUUUUCACGUUUUCCUAACGCGCCAUUCAAGGCAUGAACUUGAAAUAAUCCAAUUACGUUAAUUUGACGACUCUCUUCAUACAGAAUUUCAAUAAAGAGGAUUCUUCGCCUUUUAGCUGCCUUUUCACAGUCCUUUAAAUCUGAAAAUUGGACAUUAUUCCGUGACAACGUCACAGAUUGACUUUAAAUGCCGUCGGAAUGUCCAGACUAACAAAAAUAACGCAUCGAGAAUUCUGUAUAAAAUAUAAAAAAAUAUAAUGGGCAACUUUGAUCUCUUUCCUUGCUCGCAUAAAUUCACUACUCAAGCCAAGACGCUAGAAAUUAUGCAAAGAAUACUAUCGUACCUUCGUACUGUUCUCGAUUAAAGUACUGCCACAAGUUGUACACCUCGCAUAUUUCAACGCUACAACUACCAACAACUAAAGUAUAAACUUGUACCAAAGAAAUAAAAAAUGAAAUGCGUAAAGCCACUCUAGAGACACUACGGAGUUGUACGAGCUCUAGCAUUAAUACGACCUAUCGAUCACAAAGAAGAUAUGCAGAUAGAAAGAGUCGUGUCGUAACGGUUUAUAGCAAAUUGUCACGGCCUGUAUUGUACUUUCUAUUGACCGACUAGAACCGACUGGAAACAUCCUUGAAUAUAUCGGGAUCAUUUACAUGCAUCCAGUUCUCUUUUCACGACAGAUACUCGCGGUUAACUUUGUGGUUCAUUGCUCCCGUGGUUCGCACCUUUGUUUUUUAACUUUUAUUUCGUCCAAGGAACCAUUUUGACUCGGUAUAUAUACCACCGCAAACCAAGUUGAACGGUUUCUUAGAUACCUGGUCGGGACUCGGCGAAGCGAGUCUAACGAGACCCUUAAACUAUAAUCACUCUGUUUACCGAUACUGUAUUCGCGUUGUUUGCAUGCGUAUAAUAAACUGUGAAUUAAAUAUUCGAGAGGAAUUUGCAAUGUCGUUCAAAUUUAUUUUUCGCAAUUUUCUCUUUAGUAGAUUUGGAUCGAAGAGUAGUUAGAAGAAAUAAAAUUUCAUUUUUCGUCAUUCCGAACAAUUCCAACGUUUCCACACUUUCUUUGCGCGUCAUCUAGUAAAUUAAUCUUCCUAACUUCUCACAAAAGACUCGUUGUUCGAUCCAAUUCUAAAAAACGUUAUUCUAUAGUUUAAAAAAAUAUCCGAGUAUUAGCGAGGCUGACUGUAUGAAAACGUUACAGUAAGUACAAUGGUGUGCAGAUAUUAGGUUGUCCGAAAAGUCUUUCUUUUACAGACCCGUCUUUCACAACAAUGCAUCUGUAUACAAACAUGAAACCUGAUCUGUCGAACGUUGUGAUCUUUAUUUUGAUAGAAGAAUAUGGAAAAAGAAACUUUCCGGACAACCUAAUACCUUUUGUAGCCAUUGUAAAAUAACCAUCUAUAGUCUGGUCGUGUCAUUUGUUUAAUCAUGGUAAUAAAAAUUUGAAUUUGCAUAAAGAUCUGUAGCCUCAAGGACGCAUUGUCAGAUACGCGAAGGAUACUGAUUUUUCUGUACUUACUACGAGCAGAUCUGAACGUGCUGCUGAUGAAGGCGGAAGCAACGAGUCCGCAUUAUUCUCCCUCUUUCUCUGCCCGGCUCUCGCUGCCCUCUCCUCGACGUGACGGCCACGAGAGAGUAGCCUUUCGAAGUCUUGGCCGGUCACGCUUGUCCACGCGUUCUAUAUCUUCCUUCUUUUUCUCCCGUGCCUUUCACUCUUUCCCCUUUCUUUCUCUAUCACGUGAUCUCUGUCCCUCAGUUUUGUCUCUUCCCUUCGAUUACGGGGUUCGCACUACACCCGCGAGCCACAACACACGGUACCCAUGGCGACGCGUUCUCUCACCAUUUACGUUGUCUCUCCUCCUAAUGUUCUUCCGCUCCCGAUC
Long non-coding RNA from Bombus terrestris (buff-tailed bumblebee), 9042 nucleotides. RefSeq lists it as uncharacterized. NCBI's taxonomy places the organism in Eukaryota, Metazoa, Arthropoda, Insecta, Hymenoptera, Apidae. The transcript is spliced from 2 exons. The record is from RefSeq and is a predicted model, not a curated record.